This 2914-nucleotide ribosomal RNA is filed under the name Pseudevernia furfuracea. Its description in RNAcentral is "bacterial LSU rRNA". The stretch from base 233 to 2116 matches the Rfam family "Bacterial large subunit ribosomal RNA", at positions 15 to 2044 of the family's 2925-position model. Lineage: Eukaryota; Fungi; Ascomycota; Lecanoromycetes; Lecanorales; Parmeliaceae. The record is from RNAcentral.
AUAUUUAUAUACGGGUUAGAGCUAGGUUGGUUAGGCGUCUCAUUUGGGUUGAGGAAGUGUUAUGUUCGAAUCAUAAUGACCCGAUUUAUCUUAUCAUGUCAUAAUAAGAAUGAUAAAAUAUAUCCUAAAUAUAAUCCACACUAGUAGUGUAAAUGAUAUGGAAAGUAUUAUUUUUGUCAUUUAUUCUUUUCUCUUAGAGAAAAGAUGAUAAAAUGACAUACAAGUAUACAAAGAGAUUGUUAUGGAAUAAUACCUAUAUAUCAAAGAGAGCUAAACGUGUUUUAAUAAAUAAGCGAUACAUGCAGAUGUUAAACUCUAAUAAGAAAUUAUGUGAUAAAAAUAAACGAAGUGAAUUGAAAUAUCUUACUAACUUCAGGAAAAGAAAUCAAAAGAGAUUCUUUAAGUAAUGUGAAUGAAAUAAGAAAAGUCUUAAAGUAAAAUGGAGUGCAUAUCUGUUUGAAUAAAAGGGGAACCUUCCUCUAAGACUAAAUAUGAUAUAUAUGUGAUAGCGAAAAGUACCGUGAGGGAAAGUAUUGAAAUAGCAAUUUUAUAAGCAGCUCAAAAAAAGUUUAAAUAAACAAUAAGAGCGUACCUUUUGCAUAAUGGGUCAGCAAGUUAAUGUUUGAUGCGAGCAGUUUAGAAGUUUAGAAUUAAGAGUUACUUUACAGAUUGCGUAGAUAAAACAAUUAUGAUAUAAUGAUGUAGUAUCAAAAAUUAGACCCGAAGCUUAGUGAUCUUACCACAAUCAGGGUUAUAAAAGUCCGAACGGGUUAUCGUUGUAAAGAUAUCCGAAGAAUUGUGGUAAGUUAGUGAAAGACAAUACUGACUAAGAUAGCUGGUUUUCUGCGAAACCUAUCUAAGUAGGUAAUUUAAAUAGAAUAUCAGAAGGUACAGAAUUGUGAUCUCAUGCAACUAGUACUCAUUUUUUCUGUUAAUUUUAUUUUCUUUAGUCUUUAGUCUUUAGAAAAUAAAAUAAAAACAAAAUAAAUAAAGUGCUUUUUGCGGACAUUGGGGGGUCGUGAAGACUCUAUCAGUGAGUAUUUGUUCUCGGAAGGACUAGAUAUGAAUAUUGAAUAAUCAGACAUAGUACGAUAAGGUUGUAUGUCUAAAGGGAAACAGCCCAGAACAAGAGUUAAUAAGGUUCCAAAAUUAUUGUUAAGUGAAAUUAAGGCAGUAUUUAUCCAAAUCGGCCAGGGAAUAGGCUUAGAAGCGGCCAUUUUCUGAAGACCUCGUAACAGAGCACUGGUCUUGUUUUAAUGAUAAUAGGGAUAAAAGCACCGAAAAUUUAACGGAUCUAAACAAUAUACCGAGACCUUGUCCAAAUAUAUUAAUGUAUCUAAAUUUUACAUUGUAUAUUAGGGGUAGCGGAACAUUGGGGAAGUUUCUUAUUAUGCCUUUAUAAGGCAUAAAAUAAUUAACAACCCAAGCGAGAAUGCUGACAUGAGUAACGAUAAAGGGGAAUACCCUCGCCUAAAGCUUAUGGAAUUUAAUUAAAGUUACGGCCUCUAAGUUUAUUAUAUAUUUAAUGAAUAAUCUGUUAUUUAUUAAUAAUCCCAAAGGGGGUAAACGAUGAGCAAAUCUAAGAUUUAUAGAAAAUAUCAUUUUUACAUAGUGACAAAUGAUCUGGAAAACUGUAUAUCUCAUUUGCUAAAUAUGAAUAAACUAAAACAGAUGAUAUGUUUAGCAGAUGGUUACCGUACCUAAAUACUACCACAAGUAAGCAAGUAGAGUAUACGAAGGCGUUCGAGUGAACAAUCAUUAAGGAACUCGGCAAAUUGACUCGCGUAACUUCGGGAGAAGGUGGGCCGUCCCUUUUGAUUAAUAUCAGAUAUGGGAUAGGAGGCACAGAAUGGUGUUGUACGACUGUUUAAUUAAAACAAAGCACGCUGCAAAGAAAUAAAUUCGAAGUAUUGGGUGUGAUCUCUGCCCGAUGGCGGCUGGUUAUCGGAUUUGCUUAGUUGACUGAUAUAAGCUAGGCUUUGAAGGAACCCCCGUUCAAUGGCGGCUUUACCUAUGAGGGUCCUAAGGUAGCGGAAUACCCUGGCCGUUAAAUGCGGUCUUGCAUGAAUGAUGUAACGAUACAACAGCUGUCUCAAUGAUUGGCUCGGUGAAAUUGGAAUAACUGUGCAGAUACAGUUUACCUCUAGUUGGACGAGAAGACCCUAUGCAGCUUUACUGUUGCUAGUUACCGAAUAUGAUAUAAUGAGUUUUAGUGUAUAAGGUAGUUGGUGAGAUAUAAUUGAAACACCUUUACUUCAUUUAUCAUAUUAUAUAAACCUUACCAGGGAAUAGGUCUAGUAAUGGCCAUUUCUUAAAGAAUUCAUGUUAACACAUGAGCACUGGUUGUAACAUUUUAUAGGAACAAUUGCUAGGUGGCAGUUUAUGCGGGGCACAGAUCCCAUAAAAAGUACCUGGGAGUAUCCAAAUUCAUUUCUGUAAAAUUGCGAGAUGCAAUUAAAUAUGUACAGGCUUUUCUAAUAAGAAAAAUGCCCUACAUGUUUUUUAUUUUUAGUCUGAAGUUGGUGUUAUUUAAAUGUUUUUUUUUAUAUUUUAUUGCUAAUUCAGUUAUAUAUCCAUUUAAGUUGGAACUUUUUUUUUUUUAAGUAAGAUUUUCCCUAUUAUAAAAUAUAGAUGUAAUUAAAUUGUUAUGCCUUUGUUAUGUGCAACCAAUAAAUAACUUUAUUACCAAAUAAGUAUACAUAAGUUAAUGGGAUGUUUAUAACAAAAGGCCCACCAUCCUGAUAGAGGAGGGACAAAUAAGGAAUUAAAUAAUGAUUUUUAUUGUUUACCAGAAUAUCUCUAUUCAUCCGGGAAAAUUAUCUCUAAUUUAUAGAUAUCUGGUUAAAUGAUAUUUACUCUACUUCUCAAGUUUAACGGCUUAAUCUUGCUUUACUGUUUGACUUACACGUCUUUC